GAAAGAUUAGUUAAUAAAUAAUAUUAAUUUGUCAAAUUAAAGUAACUUUAGUAUUUUUCU
Molecule: transfer RNA, 60 nt
Filed under: Metacrangonyx ilvanus
Lineage: Eukaryota; Metazoa; Arthropoda; Malacostraca; Amphipoda; Metacrangonyctidae
Description: transfer RNA Aspartic acid
Source: RNAcentral